AUACGGGGGGUGCAAGCGUUAAUCGGAAUUACUGGGCGUAAAGCGCGCGUAGGCGGACUGAUCAGUUGGGGGUGAAAUCCCAGGGCUUAACCCUGGAACUGCCUCCAAUACUGUCAGUCUUGAGUUCGGGAGAGGUGAGUGGAAUUCCUAGUGUAGAGGUGAAAUUCGUAGAUAUUAGGAAGAACACCAGUGGCGAAGGCGGCUCACUGGCCCGAUACUGACGCUGAGGCGCGAAAGCGUGGGGAGCAAACAGGAUUAGAUACCCUAGUAGUCC
This 274-nucleotide ribosomal RNA is filed under the name uncultured bacterium. RNAcentral describes it as "partial 16S ribosomal RNA". It matches the Rfam family "Bacterial small subunit ribosomal RNA", at positions 523 to 796 of the family's 1533-position model. The record is from RNAcentral.